RNAcentral lists this non-coding RNA (25 nucleotides) under Cricetulus griseus (Chinese hamster). Lineage: Eukaryota; Metazoa; Chordata; Mammalia; Rodentia; Cricetidae. The record is from RNAcentral.
ACAUUCUGAGACUGAAGCUUUCAAA